AUUGAACGCUGGCGGCAUGCCUUACACAUGCAAGUCGAACGGCAGCACGGGAGCAAUCCUGGUGGCGAGUGGCGAACGGGUGAGUAAAGUAUCGGAACGUGCCCAGUCGUGGGGGAUAACGUAGCGAAAGUUACGCUAAUACCGCAUACGAUCUAUGGAUGAAAGCGGGGGAUCGCAAGACCUCGCGCGAUUGGAGCGGCCGAUAUCAGAUUAGGUAGUUGGUGGGGUAAAGGCUCACCAAGCCGACGAUCUGUAGCUGGUCUGAGGGGACGACCAGCCACACUGGGACUGAGACACGGCCCAGACUCCUACGGGAGGCAGCAGUGGGGAAUUUUGGACAAUGGGCGCAAGCCUGAUCCAGCCAUGCCGCGUGCAGGGUGAAGGCCUUCGGGUUGUAAACUGCUUUUGUACGGAACGAAAAGGUUUGACUUAAUACGUUGGACUCAUGACGGUACCGUAAGAAUAAGCACCGGCUAACUACGUGCCAGCAGCCGCCGUAA
RNAcentral lists this ribosomal RNA (500 nucleotides) under uncultured bacterium. Its description in RNAcentral is "partial 16S ribosomal RNA". It matches the Rfam family "Bacterial small subunit ribosomal RNA", at positions 30 to 523 of the family's 1533-position model. The record is from RNAcentral.